GGAGGCUAACCGGGGGAACUGAAACAUCUCAGUACCCCGAGGAAAAGAAAUCAACCGAGAUUCCCCCAGUAGCGGCGAGCGGACGGGGAGCAGCCCAGAGUCAGCAUCAAUAUUUACCGCAGGAGAAGGGUCUGGAAAGGCCGGCAAUAAAGGGUGAUAGCCCCGUAUCUGAAGCGGUAAGUGUUGUGAACUCGAAGAGUAGGGCGGGACACGUGUUAUCCUGUCUGAAUAUGGGGGGACCAUCCUCCAAGGCUAAAUACUCCUGACUGACCAAUAGUGAACCAGUACCGCGAGGGAAAGGCGAAAAGAACCCCGGCAAGGGGAGUGAAAUAGAACCUGAAACCGUGUACGUACAAGCAGUGGGAGCACCCGAAAGGGUGUGACUGCGUACCUUUUGUAUAAUGGGUCAGCGACUUAUAUUCUGUAGCAAGGUUAACCGCAUAAGGGAACCGUAGGGAAACCGAAUCUUAACUGGGCGUUAAGUUGUAGGGUAUAGACCCGAAACCCAAUGAUCUAGCCACGGGUAAGUUGAAG
RNAcentral lists this ribosomal RNA (534 nucleotides) under Arsenophonus endosymbiont of Trialeurodes vaporariorum. RNAcentral describes it as "partial 23S ribosomal RNA". It matches the Rfam family "Bacterial large subunit ribosomal RNA", at positions 175 to 750 of the family's 2925-position model. The record is from RNAcentral. Lineage: Bacteria; Pseudomonadati; Pseudomonadota; Gammaproteobacteria; Enterobacterales; Morganellaceae.